GCAUAUCAAUAAGCGGAGGAAAAGAAACCAACAGGGAUUGCCCCAGUAACGGCGAGUGAAGCGGCAAGAGCUCAAAUUUGAAAGCUGGCUCCUUCGGGGUCCGCAUUGUAAUUUGCAGAGGAUGCUUCGGGAGCGGUCCCCAUCUAAGUGCCCUGGAACGGGACGUCAUAGAGGGUGAGAAUCCCGUAUGGGAUGGGGUGUCCGCGCCCGUGUGAAGCUCCUUCGACGAGUCGAGUUGUUUGGGAAUGCAGCUCUAAAUGGGUGGUAAAUUUCAUCUAAAGCUAAAUAUUGGCCGGAGACCGAUAGCGCACAAGUAGAGUGAUCGAAAGAUGAAAAGCACUUUGAAAAGAGAGUUAAAAAGCACGUGAAAUUGUUGAAAGGGAAGCGCUUGCGACCAGACUCGCUCGCGGGGUUCAGCCGGCAUUCGUGCCGGUGUACUUCCCCGCGGGCGGGCCAGCGUCGGUUUGGGCGGUCGGUCAAAGGCCCUCGGAAGGUAACGCCCCUAGGGGCGUCUUAUAGCCGAGGGUGCAAUGCGACCUGCCUAGACCGAGGAACGCGCUUCGGCUCGGACGCUGGCAUAAUGGUCGUAAGCGACCCGUCUUGAAAACACGGACC
Molecule: ribosomal RNA, 615 nt
Filed under: Penicillium sp. JCM 28556
Lineage: Eukaryota; Fungi; Ascomycota; Eurotiomycetes; Eurotiales; Aspergillaceae
Description: eukaryotic LSU rRNA
Rfam family: Eukaryotic large subunit ribosomal RNA
Source: RNAcentral